RNAcentral lists this transfer RNA (92 nucleotides) under Streptomycetaceae bacterium. RNAcentral's name for it is "tRNA-Ser". It matches the Rfam family "tRNA". Rfam says of the family: Transfer RNA (tRNA) molecules are approximately 80 nucleotides in length. Their secondary structure includes four short double-helical elements and three loops (D, anti-codon, and T loops). RNAcentral also lists the same sequence under 2 other names. Lineage: Bacteria; Bacillati; Actinomycetota; Actinomycetes; Kitasatosporales; Streptomycetaceae. The record is from RNAcentral.
GGAGACGUCGCAUAGCCCGGUCGAGUGCGCCUCACUGCUAACGAGGUAAGGUGUUAAAGCCUUCAGGAGUUCAAAUCUCCUCGUCUCCGCCA